Molecule: ribosomal RNA, 377 nt
Filed under: uncultured eukaryote
Lineage: Eukaryota
Description: partial 18S ribosomal RNA
Rfam family: Eukaryotic small subunit ribosomal RNA
Source: RNAcentral
CAAUAGCGUAUAUUUAAGUUGCUGCAGUUAAAAAGCUCGUAGUUGGAUUUCGGGUGGGAAUGGCCGGUCCGCCGUUUCGGUGUGCACUUGCUACGCCCACCUUGCUGCCGGGGACGUGCUCUUGAGUUCACGCUCGGGACACGGAGUCGGCGAGGUUACUUUGAGUAAAUUAGAGUGUUCAAAGCAAGCCUACGCUCUGAAUAUAUUAGCAUGGAAUAACACGAUAGGACUCUGGCUUAUCUUGUUGGUCUGUGAGACCAGAGUAAUGAUUAAGAGGGACAGUCGGGGACAUUCGUAUUUCAUUGUCGGAGGUGAAAUUCUUGGAUUUAUGAAAGACGAACUUCUGCGAAAGCAUUUGUCAAGGAUGUUUUCAUUAA